UACAGGGGGUGCAAACGUUGUUCGGAAUUACUGGGCGUAAAGCGCACGUAGGCGGCUUUGCAAGUCAGAGGUGAAAGCCCGGGGCUCAACCCCGGAAUUGCCUUUGAGACUGCAUCGCUAGAAUUGUGGAGAGGUAAGUGGAAUUCCGAGUGUAGAGGUGAAAUUCGUAGAUAUUCGGAAGAACACCAGUGGCGAAGGCGACUUACUGGACACAUAUUGACGCUGAGGUGCGAAAGCGUGGGGAGCGAACAGG
RNAcentral lists this ribosomal RNA (253 nucleotides) under uncultured bacterium. RNAcentral's name for it is "partial 16S ribosomal RNA". It matches the Rfam family "Bacterial small subunit ribosomal RNA", at positions 524 to 776 of the family's 1533-position model. The record is from RNAcentral.